CCUUCGGGUGAGCGGCGGACGGGUGAGUAACGCGUGGGAACGUGCCCUUUGGUACGGGAUAACUGAGGGAAACUUCAGCUAAUACCGUAUGUGCCCUACGGGGGAAAGAUUUAUCGCCAUUGGAGCGGCCCGCGUUGGAUUAGGUAGUUGGUGAGGUAAAGGCUCACCAAGCCUACGAUCCAUAGCUGGUCUGAGAGGAUGAUCAGCCACACUGGGACUGAGACACGGCCCACACUCCUACGGGAGGCAGCAGUAGGGAAUCUUGCGCAAUGGGCGAAAGCCUGACGCAGCCAUGCCGCGUGUAUGAUGAAGGUCUUAGGAUUGUAAAAUACUUUCACCGGGGAAGAUAAUGACGGUACCCGGAGAAGAAGCCCCGGCUAACUUCGUGCCAGCAGCCGCGGUAAUACGAAGGGGGCUAGCGUUGCUCGGAAUUACUGGGCGUAAAGGGCGCGUAKGCGGACAGUUUAGUCAGAGGUGAAAGCCCAGGGCUCAACCUUGGAAUUGCCUUUGAUACUGGCUGUCUUGAGUUCGGGAGAGGUGAGUGGAAUGCCGAGUGUAGAGGUGAAAUUCGUAGAUAUUCGGCGGAACACCAGUGGCGAAGGCGACUCACUGGCCCGAUACUGACGCUGAGGCGCGAAAGCGUGGGGAGCAAACAGGAUUAGAUACCCUGGUAGUCCACGCUGUAAACGAUGAGUGCUAGUUGUCGGCAUGCAUGCAUGUCGGUGACGCAGCU
RNAcentral lists this ribosomal RNA (733 nucleotides) under uncultured bacterium. Its description in RNAcentral is "SSU rRNA". It matches the Rfam family "Bacterial small subunit ribosomal RNA", at positions 84 to 853 of the family's 1533-position model. The record is from RNAcentral.